This 468-nucleotide ribosomal RNA is filed under the name uncultured bacterium. RNAcentral's name for it is "partial 16S ribosomal RNA". It matches the Rfam family "Bacterial small subunit ribosomal RNA", at positions 28 to 507 of the family's 1533-position model. The record is from RNAcentral.
GACGAACGCUGGCGGCGUGCCUAACACAUGCAAGUCGAACGGAAAGGCCCUGCUUUUGUGGGUUGCUCGAUUGGCGAACGGGGGAGUAACACGUGAGUAUCCUGCCCUUGACUUUGGGAUAACUCCAGGAAACUGGGGCUAAUACCGCAUAGGAGCUCCUGCUGCAUGGUGGGCGAUGGAAAGUUUCGGCGGUUGGGGAUGGACUCGCGGCUUAUCAGCUUGUUGGUGGGGUAGUGGCUUACCAAGGCUUUGACGGGUAGCCGGCCUGAGAGGGUGACCGGCCACAUUGGGACUGAGAUACGGCGCAGACUGCAACGGGAGGCAGCAGUGGGAAGUAUUGCACAGUGAGCGGAAGCGUGAUGCAGCAACGCCGCGUGCGGGAUGACGUCCUUCGGGUUGUGAACCGCUUUCGCAUGUGACGAAGCGUGAGUGACGGUAAUGGGUAAAGAAGCACCGGCUAACUACGUG